Molecule: non-coding RNA, 91 nt
Organism: Filobasidium floriforme
Lineage: Eukaryota; Fungi; Basidiomycota; Tremellomycetes; Filobasidiales; Filobasidiaceae
Source: the annotation of a RefSeq genome assembly
GGCACUAUGCCGGAGUGGUUAACGGGUGCCCCUGCUAUCAUGCAUUGAGGGUAUGGCAUUUGUCGCGUGUGUUCGAAUCACACUGGUGUCG